This 276-nucleotide small nuclear RNA is filed under the name Anser brachyrhynchus (Pink-footed goose). Its description in RNAcentral is "7SK RNA (ENSABRG00000000765.1)". It matches the Rfam family "7SK RNA". Rfam says of the family: 7SK was discovered as an abundant small nuclear RNA in the mid-70s but a possible function has only recently been suggested. The record is from Rfam by way of RNAcentral. Lineage: Eukaryota; Metazoa; Chordata; Aves; Anseriformes; Anatidae.
GGAUGCGAGGGCGGUCUGGCUGUGCCGUCUGUCACCUCACUGAUCACCAGGGCUGCUUCAGCUGAUGUGGCAGGCUAGGGGGGUGUCCCCUUCCUCCCUCACCGCUCCGUGUGCGUCCCUCCCAACCUUCCCCGACAGAGACCCUACAGUUCAUCAGGCAGGGGUACAGGGUAGCUGCGCGUCCCGCUAGAAACAGGCUCAACCAUUCUGUGGUCCCAGAUCAUGUUUCUCACCUCCUCUUCAUUUGCAUAAAAAGUCUCUGAGCUACUUCUUUCU